RNAcentral lists this long non-coding RNA (360 nucleotides) under Theobroma cacao (cacao). RNAcentral's name for it is "long non-coding RNA (TCAC_LNC004968)". The record is from RNAcentral. Lineage: Eukaryota; Viridiplantae; Streptophyta; Magnoliopsida; Malvales; Malvaceae.
GAAAAUACAAGGAGAUGAUACAAAAAAAUGAACCGUAGUUCAUUUCUUCAUAAGUUCAUCUACUUUGAACUUUAUCUUGGCGAGAAUCUUUUAGUUGCUUAAGAUGGCAACCUCCAGGUCAAAAGUCCUUUGCAUCAGGUUGUCGAUGAGGACUUGCAUCUCUUGCUGGAAUAUGUGCAACUUGUCCCUCACACUAAAAGGCACCUCAUCAUCUUCGGAGGCUGCCUCUUUCCCCUUCUCGACUCUUGGAUCUCUGAACGUCAUUUUUCAAUUAUCUAAGAUUGAUUAAGAUAAUUGAAUUUGAUUCAAAUGGUUAAUGGUUCCCUUUAUUUAUAGGCAUGAAAGUUGACUCUUCGUUUU